UUUAGCUAAGGCUGUACUGUGGAGACAAUCAGUGUAUUGCAGAAUGUAAUGACAAUGAGUAGAGAGAGCAGAUUUCAUGGACAGGGGGAAAGCCUUUUUAUUCUUCCAAAAACGGAUUGCUGCCCAGUAAACAUAAAAAAAGGUAGAGCUGUAGUCAUAAGAAACACGGCUGUAGGAGAAGAGCUUCCUCACAGAGUUGGCCUCCACAAGAUAAAGAAAGUCAAUGAUGCACAUCUUACUCCUAGAGAGAGAGACCACCAAGACUGGAAAGAUACUGUGAAGGAUACUGCAAGAGAAUACUUCCCAGAACAAAGGGAAAGGAUACAGAUAAGGAGGCUAAAGCCCAGAGAAGAUAAGUGGCUGGCACAACAUCACACGGCUGGUCAUUGGAGAACAAAUAAGAGAGUCCCAGGUACCAUGGCUCCAGAAGUUGUGCUCUAAUAUGGAUCCAGUCCUUAGAAAAGGACACUGAGAAAUACCUUCUAUCAAGGGGAUACCAAUGAAGGAGAAAUAAUGAAAAAAGGUCAUACAGCUAGAAAAAGAUGCAGACUACAUUGUCAUGAAAGAGAAGGAUGUUUACAGUGUAACUUCGCAGUUAAUGGUGAGUCCUACUGAGCCUGGACCUGAAGUGUCUCGGUGUGUUUUUGCAUCCCCCUUAAUUAUGUCAUUGCCAUACGAUGAGAGACACAUGAAACCCAGCGCAACUCAGCCUACAUCGCUGACCUCCAACUAACUCACAGGUGUGUCAGAAAGACUGGUUAAAUUAGCAGAGCUGCCCAGCCCAGGAGAGCACAGACGAGUCUAUUAGCAAGAGAUCUGCAGUCACAUGAGCCAUAAUAAUGUCAUUUAGUGUUAAGCCACUGGGUUUUAUGCAGCAAUAGCUUAUCUGUACAAUGUAUACAUUCAAAGGAUAUUGCCAUGGGGAAUUUUAAACACUAAAUCGUUAUUUAUUUUGGAAGUCUACUGUUUAAGGUUUACUUAUGAUCUACUCACAAGUGUGAAAUAUGAUCAAAGAAGUAUUAUCUAAUCGCAAGGACUAUUUUGGUUAUUCAUCUUUAGAGUCAAACUCCUUAUUAAAUCAAAGUUAGAGAGGCCAUGACUUCUAUCAUAUUUGUAAAACAUAAAGUACUUGCUUGUUUUGUGCAAGAAAGAUGCUGAUGGUUUUUUGACAGAAAAUAUUAAUUGAAUAAGUGAAUUCCUCUGGGCUAUGAUCAUCUUAAAAUAUGAAAGCAAAAGAUCACGUUAAUUUAGGACUACCCAUCUGUAGCAAAUAAUCAGUUCAAAUUUCUAUCUUGA
Molecule: long non-coding RNA, 1296 nt
Organism: Equus caballus (horse)
Lineage: Eukaryota; Metazoa; Chordata; Mammalia; Perissodactyla; Equidae
Source: Ensembl